GAUGGAACGCUGGCGGCGUGCUUAACACAUGCAAGUCGAACGAAGCGACCUUGAUUUAGAUUCUUCGGAUGAAGAUUUUGGUGACUGAGUGGCAGACGGGUGAGUAACGCGUGGGUAACCUGCCUCAUACAGGGGGAUAACAGUUAGAAAUGACUGCUAAUACCGCAUGAGACCACAGCACCGCAUGGUGCAGGGGUAAAAACUCCGGUGGUAUGAGAUGGACCCGCGUCUGAUUAGGUAGUUGGUGGGGUAACGGCCUACCAAGCCGACGAUCAGUAGCCGACCUGAGAGGGUGACCGGCCACAUUGGGACUGAGACACGGCCCAA
This 327-nucleotide ribosomal RNA is filed under the name uncultured bacterium. Its description in RNAcentral is "bacterial SSU rRNA". It matches the Rfam family "Bacterial small subunit ribosomal RNA", at positions 27 to 334 of the family's 1533-position model. The record is from RNAcentral.